UACGGAGGGGGCUAGCGUUGUUCGGAAUUACUGGGCGUAAAGCGCGCGUAGGCGGAUCUGCAAGUCGGGGGUGAAAUCCCGAGGCUCAACCUCGGAACUGCCUUUGAUACUGCGGGUCUUGAGUCCGAUAGAGGUGGGUGGAAUUCCUAGUGUAGAGGUGAAAUUCGUAGAUAUUAGGAAGAACACCGGUGGCGAAGGCGGCCCACUGGAUCGGUACUGACGCUGAGGUGCGAAAGCGUGGGGAGCAAACAGG
RNAcentral lists this ribosomal RNA (253 nucleotides) under uncultured bacterium. Its description in RNAcentral is "partial 16S ribosomal RNA". It matches the Rfam family "Bacterial small subunit ribosomal RNA", at positions 524 to 776 of the family's 1533-position model. The record is from RNAcentral.